This 1866-nucleotide long non-coding RNA is filed under the name Nilaparvata lugens (brown planthopper). Its description in RNAcentral is "uncharacterized LOC120356657". Lineage: Eukaryota; Metazoa; Arthropoda; Insecta; Hemiptera; Delphacidae. The record is from RNAcentral.
UCUCUCUCUCCUCUCUCUCUCUCUCUCUCUCUCUCUCUCUCUCUCUCUCUCUCUCUCUCUCUCUCUCUCUCUUCCAUUUGGCUAUUGCAGUAAUGAGUUUUGGUAGUUGGGAUGCGUAAUGUUGCCAUUUGUGGAUUCGCCUGAAAUAUUUCUCGAUUUGAUUAAAUCUUCUGAAAUUGGUACAAAUUCCAGUAAUUUCAUGAUUUUUAAUAUAACAGGGGAAAACUAUCAAAUAACAGCUCCUAUCAUUAUGAACUCUAAUAAAGAAGGUAUGCAAAAGGAUGUACCAUAAAACCUUCGAAUAACAAACUCUUUCUUACAACCUGAACAUUUUUAUUUCCAAAAUUUUCUUGUAUGAAUUUCAAAACUAGAUAGAGUGCAAUUUUCAACAAUGAUAGAACUGUUAUCAAAAUUAAAUAAAAAAAUUAUUAACCUGCAACUAGAUGCAGUAACACCAAUAAAUCAAUAAUAUUUCUGACUCAUCUCUAUGUUCUCCUCUUUUUCAGGAACAAAACUCUUAUCGUGAAAAAACUCUUCUCGCUGCUUCAAAACCGAAGAAAAGUGUGAAUAGUAGGCCGCCUACGAGUAGUCUUCACCAGCGAUUCAACAUUUUAUUCUCAAUAAUUUAAAAUAACUAAAAUAAAUAAGACCUAAGUAGAUUCUACAAGUGUAAUUUUAAGAGUUUAUUUUCAUAUUUAUACUUUAAUGGAUUGUAAUACCAAUGAUGUUACAGAUUAUGGUGGUAGAAUUGAGAGAUUGGUGGAAGACUGAAUUGUUAUGAAAUAAUUAUACCAAACAUUUGUUUCAGAUAUGUAUUAGGUGUAAAACAAUGUAUUCUGGCGGCUUCACCCCUAAAAACCUCCAUCUUGGACCUUUUUUUUAAUUUUCCCAUUUCCUUUUUCUUAGAAAAAGCAUUCUCUACACAAUUAAAGACAAUAGAUUUUUUUUAAUUGAGUCGCGCAGGAUUUUGGAGCUACAGAUUUUCAAAAAAAAGGUAUUUUUCAAGGUUUUUUUUUAAUUCUGGAAACUCAAUACUAUCACUAUACAUACAUACAACUUGGAAUAUUAUAAAGUAAUGAUGAAAAAACGCAUUUCAUGUAAAAGUACAAUUAAUUCUCAACAGGAUUCUUCAGGAAUUUAGUAUAGGAUGGACGGGGAAAACUCGUCAAACAGAAAACUAAAGUAUAAAUUUUGAAGGUUCAUGUAACCUGUCAAAUCAAUAGCUUGGAUCAUAUUGUUAUACAAGGGUUAUGUUCCAAGAGAAUCAGCACUUGAUUCCAGGAUUUUUAGUGAGGAAAAACUACCACUUAAUUUAUUAGAAAUGCUAUUCUCUUCAAUUUUGUAGAGAAUGGGUUUUCUCGAAAAACACAAAAUAAAAUGAAGAAAAGGUCCAAGAUUUGUGGGUUUUUAGGGUUUGAAGUUGUCGUCUGGCGUAUCAGCAAAUUUCAGUUUCAAAUUCAGCUCCGCGAAAUAAAUAUUGAACCGACGAUGGGCUGUUUCGUGGAAAAUGACCAUUUGACUGGACUGAUAAUAUAAUUUGAAAUAGCAAUCAUUUCUCAGAUUAUCCAAAUUGAACAAUACUGUACGUACCCCAAUAAAUAUUAUUUCAAGUUUUCUGUUCAAUUUUGGAUAAAAGUCAAGCUAUUGUUAAUUUUUCAUCACAAUUGUAAUUGGUAAUAGAUGCGGCGAAACAGAUUGUUACAGUACGAAGCUGAGCUCAGUACGAGGUUCGCGGAGAGUGAAUUAUGACACGAUAGUUUUUGCUCCAGUGCUAUACACAAAAUUUCCCCACCACUCCACUUGAACAACAAUGACGAUCGAUAUCUCCUUUAUGGAUAUGGAUAUGUGACUAGAGUGCAAAGUUAA